GUUGUUCGGAAUUACUGGGCGUAAAGGGCUCGUAGGCGGCCCACUAAGUCAGACGUGAAAUCCCUCGGCUUAACCGGGGAACUGCGUCUGAUACUGGAUGGCUAGAGUUUGGGAGAGGGAUGCGGAAUUCCAGGUGUAGCGGUGAAAUGCGUAGAUAUCUGGAGGAACACCGGUGGCGAAGGCGGCAUCCUGGACCAACACUGACGCUGAGGAGCGAAAGCCAGGGGAGCAAACGGG
This 237-nucleotide ribosomal RNA is filed under the name uncultured bacterium. RNAcentral's name for it is "partial 16S ribosomal RNA". It matches the Rfam family "Bacterial small subunit ribosomal RNA", at positions 540 to 776 of the family's 1533-position model. The record is from RNAcentral.